Molecule: ribosomal RNA, 475 nt
Filed under: uncultured organism
Description: partial 16S ribosomal RNA
Rfam family: Bacterial small subunit ribosomal RNA
Source: RNAcentral
GUACACUCCUGCGGGAGGCAGCAGUGGGGAAUAUUGCACAAUGGGCGCAAGCCUGAUGCAGCCAUGCCGCGUGUAUGAAGAAGGCCUUCGGGUUGUAAAGUACUUUCAGCGGGGAGGAAGGCAAUACGGUUAAUAACCGUGUUGAUUGACGUUACCCGCAGAAGAAGCACCGGCUAACUCCGUGCCAGCAGCCGCGGUAAUACGGAGGGUGCAAGCGUUAAUCGGAAUUACUGGGCGUAAAGCGCACGCAGGCGGUCUGUCAAGUCGGAUGUGAAAUCCCCGGGCUCAACCUGGGAACUGCAUUCGAAACUGGCAGGCUUGAGUCUUGUAGAGGGGGGUAGAAUUCCAGGUGUAGCGGUGAAAUGCGUAGAGAUCUGGAGGAAUACCGGUGGCGAAGGCGGCCCCCUGGACAAAGACUGACGCUCAGGUGCGAAAGCGUGGGGAGCAAACAGGAUUAGAUACCCGGGUAGUCCCA